Molecule: ribosomal RNA, 253 nt
Filed under: uncultured bacterium
Lineage: Bacteria
Description: partial 16S ribosomal RNA
Rfam family: Bacterial small subunit ribosomal RNA
Source: RNAcentral
UACGGAGGGUGCGAGCGUUAAUCGGAAUUACUGGGCGUAAAGCGCGCGUAGGCGGUUUGUUAAGUCAGCUGUGAAAGCCCCGGGCUCAACCUGGGAACUGCAGUUGAUACUGACCGACUGGAGUACGAGAGAGGGAGGUAGAAUUCCAUGUGUAGCGGUGAAAUGCGUAGAUAUAUGGAGGAAUACCAGUGGCGAAGGCGGCCUCCUGGCUCGAUACUGACGCUGAGGUGCGAAAGCGUGGGGAUCAAACAGG